GAAAGGCGUAGUCGAUGGGAAAAUGGUUAAUAUUCCAUUACUUCUGUGUAAUGCGAUGAGAGGACGGAGAAGGCUAAAUCAGCCUGGCGUUGGUUGUCCAGGUGAAAGGAUGUAGGCAUGUAUCUUAGGCAAAUCCGGGGUACUCUAUGCUGAGAUCUGAUAGCAAGCUGUACUUGUACAGCGAAGUGGUUGAUGCCAUGCUUCCAGGAAAAGUCUCUAAGCUUCAGUUACACAGGAAUCGUACCCGAAACCGACACAGGUGGUCAGGUCGAGUAGACCAAGGCGCUUGAG
Molecule: ribosomal RNA, 291 nt
Filed under: Escherichia coli
Lineage: Bacteria; Pseudomonadati; Pseudomonadota; Gammaproteobacteria; Enterobacterales; Enterobacteriaceae
Description: partial 23S ribosomal RNA
Rfam family: Bacterial large subunit ribosomal RNA
Source: RNAcentral